This is a long non-coding RNA of Zalophus californianus (California sea lion), 357 nucleotides long. RefSeq lists it as uncharacterized. Lineage: Eukaryota; Metazoa; Chordata; Mammalia; Carnivora; Otariidae. The transcript has 3 exons. The record is from RefSeq and is a predicted model, not a curated record.
GGACCAGUCCUUGUUCUGACUGAAAGUCCAACUGUAGUGAGGACCACAGCCUGCUCUUCAAAUAUGAGGCGAGACUGAUGAUUGGCCAGGGGAAGAUACGCAUGCUGACUGCAUUAGGAUGAAAACUACCAUCCCUACUCUCAUUGGACUUUGACCCCAUCCAUCCAAAGAAAUCUCUGUUGAAAUCACCCACAACCUCCUUGAUGUUCUUCAUCUGGCCAGCCCUGAAAACAAACUGUAGCACCAUGAGACAGAAGAACAGGUUCUGAAAUUAACAACAACAGGAAGGAGAAAGAGAAAGCUACCCUCCUCCUAUUCCCUGAAGGCCAGAACAGCAGGUGUGCCUAUUUUCAGAGG